AGGCUGUAAUGGCUUCAUGGUGGAACUGUUAACCUUGAGAAUUCUGACAUGGGAUCAAUUCCCAACGGUCAGACACAUGUCACUAACCGUCUUUGAGCGGUGAAGUUGCGUCCGCGUAGCUGUGCUGUGUUCGAUGGUAUUUCAGUCGUUUUAGCAAGAUGUGUCCCGGUUAAAAUUUAAUCGAUCCUUGCGGGAGUUGUCCGAUAUCGGUCGGCAUGAGAAGUCUGUCGUAUCGUACGGUACAGCAAUGUAAUCAAUUGUGUUCUUCCCCUCAAAAGGAAGGUGCUGCUCUUACCGUUAUUAGGGGAGUUUCAUCCAGCAAUGACAAGAGCUACCCGUAAUGGAGGCGGUCGGGAUUGCACUGUCUGCUUCGUGGUCAGUUCUCUGAUCCACAUCGACUGCCGUGAAAUUAUCUCUUCUCGUCUAACGGGAUAUGGGGUUAUUCUUCAGGAACCACCGCAUU
This 463-nucleotide signal recognition particle RNA is filed under the name Vanderwaltozyma polyspora DSM 70294. RNAcentral's name for it is "Fungal signal recognition particle RNA". It matches the Rfam family "Fungal signal recognition particle RNA". Lineage: Eukaryota; Fungi; Ascomycota; Saccharomycetes; Saccharomycetales; Saccharomycetaceae. The record is from Rfam by way of RNAcentral.